Molecule: long non-coding RNA, 1626 nt
Organism: Bos taurus (domestic cattle)
Lineage: Eukaryota; Metazoa; Chordata; Mammalia; Artiodactyla; Bovidae
Source: Ensembl
AUUAGAUCAACACCUUCCGGUACCUUCAAAUGUCCAGUGUUUUCUUCCGGGUCACCCUCAACCACCAGCUUAGAUUGGGUCCCAUUCCCUUCCACCUCACCCCUGGACAUGGGGCAUUCCUUAUCAUCCUCCCGUCUAGGUUCCAGUUCUUGUUACCACACCAACCCUGAAUGUCUGUCCCUCUAACCCACCCCUGAACCCCAGGGCACACUCUUCAAGUUCACCUUUCCAUGAUAAGGGCACCCUUUAUGACUAAAGGGCACCCAAAUGACUAAAUUUUCAUCGUCUCCAGAGUGGGCAGGGUAGGGCUCGGGAUCCUGUGAGGUCAGGAGCCCAGGAGGCCAGGAAAAUAAAUUCAGACCCAUCAACCCUCCCCAGACAAAAAGCCAGGACUCCAGGGUUGCAGACUAGAAUAGAAUACAUCACAACCAGCAGACCAGGCAUAAGGCAGGGGGAAGCUUUUAUUUAACUGGACAGCAGGCUCAAGACACAGCAGAGACUUCCCCAAGCUGAUGUCUGCUGCUGCUUCGAUGGAGGAGGGGUACACUGAGCCAACUCUUGACAGCUUGGGGGGCUUCACUCUACAUACCUAGUUUCACGCCUAGAAGAGCCCUAUUCCAUCUGAUGAUGGAUACAGUCUUAACUCUUCCAUGCCCUGGACCCACCCAAGAACUGAGCAGGCCUGCUUGCGUCCUCUGGGCCCACAGGGACCUCAUUCCCCACCCCAUGUGCCAGGAGGGUGCCAUGGCCCCUCCCCCCAAGUUAGGAAGCCACAGGGCCCAGGGAGAAGGGGCCAGGCAGGUUCAGGUCAGGCCAGCCUGGUUCCGGAAGCCCGGAGUUGGCAUUUAACGGUCUGGGGGGCCCAAGGCAGCUUCCUCUUUGGUAACUGGCUGCUGGGAAGAUGCAGGCCAGCCAAGCCCCCACCAAGCUUGGACGAGGAGGGGCCGAGGGUCGGCCAGGCAAGGACACAUCUGGCUUCCUUUCUUCAUGGAAAGGCCAGCCAGCCAGCCACCUGCCUGUCUGCUCAUCCUCCCUGGGAGCACAGCCCAGUCUUGAGUUGGGACUGGGGGGCACGGGGGCAGUCCCCAAGUGCAGAAAUUGGAGGAGGGGGCCUGCAGCAAACAGCUGGGUUCACCCACCCCAUUCCAGGCUCCACCCAUCCCCAGGUUCCUCCUCCGGACCCAGGUCCCAGGCCAGCAGGGUCCUCAUUUCUUCCCCCGGGCAGCGACUGGCCCACCCAAGGAGGGCAGGGGCCACAGCAGACUCCAAGGGGGCUUGACUCCUGUUCCUGCUGAACUGAGCCAGUGUGCACAAAUCAACUGUGUUUCAGCUCAGUAGGCACGGGAGGCAGAGCCCAGGGAGGCCCCGAGGUUGGCCAGGCAGCAGAGGGGGAGAGGUGGCAGGGCCAGAGGCAGCGGCAGGGCCCUUGGGGGGGCGGAACUUAGCCACUGUGAACACGAUUUGAUGUGGACCUGCUCACAAGCAGCUAAGCCCUGCUCCCCAGGCCAGAUGUGAGCAGUGGGGGCCUCGCUGCCACCCCAUCCCCAUCCCCAGGGUCAGCGUCCUCAGCAGUGGCAGUGACAAUGGCGGCCCCGGAGACAGGGCUCAGGGUCGGUUGGAAAUCCC